RNAcentral lists this long non-coding RNA (1712 nucleotides) under Gossypium barbadense (sea-island cotton). Its description in RNAcentral is "long non-coding RNA (GBAR_LNC016855)". Lineage: Eukaryota; Viridiplantae; Streptophyta; Magnoliopsida; Malvales; Malvaceae. The record is from RNAcentral.
AAAAUAAAAUAAAAAAGGCAGAGCCUCCAUCUCUUUCGGCCCUCCGAGCUCCGGCGCCAAACUCAACCCCCUCUUUCCGAUUUAGACCCGACGAUGGCGCAGGUAAGUCCUCGUCCUUCCCUUUUUAUUAUUUAUUUCUUAUGUAGAAGAUAAAAUAAAAAUAAAAAUAAAAUGAAACAAACAAAAACGUAAAUAAAAAAAAUCACCUUCAAAAGUCUGUUUUGUUUUUUUUUAUUUCAAUAAUCGUAAAAGCAAAGGAAGAAGAAGUUCUUCCUUACAGUAGAUUCGGUUUUAACCGAAAAAAAGAAAAAUAAAAGAGAAAAAAAAAUUUCCCCCUAUUACAGUGAUUUCGCCCCCUCUACAUUUUACAAUAUACUAGGCUUUAUAGCCGAAAGAAAAAAUGAAAAAUCGAGGGAAAAUCUCCUCUUUUGCUACUGUUUUCCUAGUCUGCUUCCAUUUCUCUCUUUUGUUGCUUGUUUGCAGGUACACAGCAAGGUCAACUUGCCAUUUCGGUGAAAGGAGGGCUGGCGGUGGCAGACAUCGGGCGUGGUGCACGCUGAAGGCGCACAUGGCGUAGCAACGGCGCGAGGGGCGCCAGAAACCCUAGGGUUUCUGGCCAUUCCAAAAUUUUUAAGGUUUUGGGCCACCGGGCUUUGUUUCUGUAAUUGGGCUUAAUUUAGUUUGUUGGGCUGGAGCAAAUUUGGGCUUUGUACAGUAUUUAUUAUAUAUGGUUAAAUCGGUGUAUAACCUAUUGAAUAAGCGGACAAAAAAUUAGUGGUUUAAUCGAUUCAAUCAAUAGUUUGAUCUUGAAAACCAUGCCCGGCAUAGCAAAUCAACUGACUUGUCCUCUAGAAAUGAUCUCAACAUGGCUAGGCUUCCCUUGGGGUAGCAAAUCUACUAAGCUAGCCUAUGGAGAUUAUCUCAACGCGGCUAGACUUUUCCUAGCAUAGAGGAUCAACUAACUUGGCUUCUAAAGAUGAUGUCAACGUGGGCUUCUCCCAGCGUAGCGGAUCAACUAAGUUAGCCUCUCGGGAGAUGAUCAGGUUGAUCUCGGACUAUGGAGACUUACAAGGACGUCUGUAGAGAAAGGGAUAAUGUUAGCGGGCACCAGAGGACUUCCUUCCGAGGCAUACUCCAACUCAACUCAAUGAUCAGGUAUAACUUAAUGCAAGAAAAGAAGAAGUUUUGAAAAAGAGGGGUAGAAGAUGCUUUUCAAUUGCUAUGUAGUGAAGUAUAUGACUGGUCUUUCUGUGAAUGGCAGUGAAUCCUUCCAUUUAUAGCCAAUGGUGAAGUAACUUGGUGCCAUGUGACGUUUCAUCAUUAGCUUGGUGUUGAGGUAUCUUUCUGAGAUGCAUUGAACCUUGGUCAAGUGGUCUUGCAAGUGGGAACCAGGUCUUGGAGGGUCUUCCGUUUGGGGCCUUGCCUUGGGCCUAGCUUUCCUUGGAUUAGUCAUGUUGGGUGCUCUGGAGAUCAUCUUGAGGGUUUUGGUUGUCCGUUACCUUCUGCGAUCAACUUUUAUUUUCAUCUCAACAAGAACCAUAAAAUAUUUAAAGAUAUCAACUUUUUUAAAUAGUAAAUGACAUUUUUAAAAUUGUAAAUGUUAAUUAUCUUAAAGUUUGACCUUAUUUUAUUUUUUUAAUAAGAUAUGGACCAAAUUGAUUCAUUUAAUGGUAAAUGGACUAAUUUGAUAAAGAUCUUAUAAUAGAGGAACA